GUGAAGAUGGAUGGAUGAAGAUGGAUGGAUGGAGAUUUAUAGGUGAAGAUGGAUGGAUGAAGAUGGAUGGAUGGAGAUUUAUAGGUGAAGAUGGAUGGAUGAAGAUGGAUGGAUGGAGAUUUAUAGGUGAAGAUGGACGGAUGAAGAUGGACGGAUGGAUGGAGAUGGAUGAGUGGAGAUGGAUGGAUGAGUGAAGAUGGAUGGAUGGAGAUGGACGGAUGAAGAUGGACGGAUGAAGAUGGAUGGAUGGAGAUUUAUGGAUGAAGAUGGACGGAUGAAGAUGGAUGGAUGGAGAUUUGUAGGUGAAGAUGGAUGGAUGAAGAUGGAUGGAUGGAUGGAUGGAGAUGGAUGAGUGGAGAUGGAUGGAUGGAGAUGGAUGAAGAUGGACGGAUGAAGAUGGAUGGAUGGAGAUUUGUAGGUGAAGAUGGAUGGAUGAAGAUGGAUGGAUGGAUGAGUGGAGAUGGAUGGAUGGAGAUGGAUGAGUGGAGAUGGAUGGAUGGAGAUGGAUGAAGAUGGAUGGAUGGAUGAAGAUGGACGGAUGAAGAUGGAUGGAUGGAGAUUUGUAGGUGAAGAUGGACGGAUGAAGAUGGAUGGACGGAUGGAUGGAGAUGGAUGAGUGGAGAUGGAUGGAUGGAUGGAAGUUUCCUGCAAUCUACACGCACAGAUGCCUUUUACCCGGCUCUAAACGAGACGUGUGGAGUCUGAAAGCCGUGAUAUUUUUCUUUACGCUCGGGCUUUAUGGAGGAAAUUGAUCCGAAGCCGUGGCGUUGUCCGUCCACAUUUUCAAACGUUUUAACGAGCGUCUCCGUCGGCCUCCCUCGUCCUGCCCGUCACGCGCUCUGCCUGGGUGUUUAAGAAAGAGCUGUAUAUUUUGGCCAUACAGCUCCAACACCAGAAACAGAUUCGCGAUUGUUUUUAAUUCUCCAUGGCUGAUCACGACUUCCGACGCCUGUCGUGUGUUUUUCUCCCCCACGCUUCUGGAUUUUAAUCACAGGGUAAUUCUUCUCUCUCUCGAGAUGCUGACUCGAAAUAAAACAUGCUCCGUCGUGCAUCGAAUAAGAAUUAAGUCACGUUUAGUGUUGGGGAUUGGCUGCGAUGGGAACCCUUCGGCUACACGACAGAUGAUUAAAUCAUCACGCCGAGCUAAUAUGGAUUCCACAUCAUGGAGAGUUGUUGUUGUCGAGAGCUGGUAGUUAAGUCUAUUGAGGCAGCUGGAGGGAAGAGAACAGUUCAGACUCCACGCUGAUGAUGAUACGCUUCCUGGUGUCUCUUCUGUCAAAAAGCCCAUCGCGUAAUGCUAACGGUCAUGCUAACGGUCAUGCUAACGGUCAUGCUAACGGUCAUGCCGAUUACCACAUUCUGUCCAUCACACCGACGUUCACGAGCGUUUUUUUUUUAAUAAAGGGCAACCACGUCAUCCUUUUCUUAUGCAUUUAUAUACACAGCCAGCUCGUUACCAGUGUGUACAUAACACCUGCUGCAUAUGUCUGGCCACGCCCCGUUAAAGCCACAGGCGAUACUGUCGUCAAUCUGCGACGUUUACGUGGCACAAUAGGAAAGUGGCAUUUUACACACACACACACACACACACACACACGCAUCUCACAACGCUACUAGAGUCUCCUUCCAUAAAUCUUGAAUAAACAUCUCCUUAUUUGAAGAAAACUUCACCGUACAAGGUGCCUCGCUUGACUUUGGAGGUUUUUUAAAUAAUCCACCCGUCUGCUUCUCUCUCUCUCUCUCUCUCUCUCUCCACUUCUUCUCUGUAUGUUUUCUGCUCUCCACCUCCACUCAUCCUCUUCCUCGUCCUGGUUCUCUCCCAGCAGCAUGGCGCCUCUGUCCCGGCCGUCUGUUCUCCCAUCUGUGUGUUCGGUUUGGUUCACUGGCCUGAGAACGGCACUCACACCUCACACGAGGAGAACCGACAGGACGGGAAAAUAAAACACACGCGCAAAUCCGAGCGUAGAAAUUCAGUAUUUAUUUAACAGUAAUCAUUUUUUUCUUCAAACGUUCGAGACAGAUCUUUCUGAACGGAGGAGCUCAUGACGAGAGUAGGGAAAGAGAAUGGAGGAAGUUCUCUGGGUGUGUCGCUGUGUGUGUCACGCCGCGGUUGGGAUUAAUCUCAGCGCCGCAUUGCGAACUCGUGCUCCAACUUGGAAUUUCUGACCUCCGACUAGGGGGGGAAAAAAGCAAAGAAAACACCUCGUCGAUUUGGAAUUCCUACUCAGUUCAGCACUUGACUUCAUGUCAACAUGGCCGCUCAGACCGUCAACAUAACCUAAACAUCACUUAGCUACUUUAACUGCGCUUAUAACAGUGUUUACUUCGGAUCAAAUGACCAUAGUCUCAUUCCUCGGUGAAAUCAGUAACAGUGUUUUGUGAAAGCAAAUACAUCAUAAACUCACGCUCAUUAACGUUAGCUAGCUUUGUUGGUAACACACUUUCGUAGGGGUGUCAUUUUUUUUUCACACUUUCAAACUAAGUUUAAUAACCGAUGAAAACCGAUAGUGAAUGAAAACGUAACACUCAAAGCUUGACGGCUGGACCGUGAAAAUGUCCUGUACUUUUUCAAUGAAAUAAAUAUAAAUUAAUAUAUAUAAACUAUUAAUAAGUAUUUAAAUAAAUAAAAGAUACACAUCCAAACUGAACCAAAAAGUAACACUUUACAAAUUUUAAUUUGUACAAACACUUUAAAUAACGAAUAAAACCGAGACGUCCAAAAUGAAUCAAAAAAACACUUCAAAUAACGCACAAAAUGAGUCAGCAAUGGGUUUUAUUUCGCCUCUAGAGGCCGCUCUCGUACCGUAUGAUGGUGGUGUGGAUUUUUUUUCCCAUAACCGAUACUUCCAGCGAUCAGUUCUGGGUGCUGAUUAAUCAGGAAAACCGAUCAAUCGACCGACCUCUACUGUCUAAUUAAUACUGACACGAUCCCGAGUUCAGACGUCCCGCUUCAGAGUUCAGACGUGUACACAGAUGUAUACGCAGACGUGUAGAUGUGUACACAGACGUAUACACAGACGUGUAGAUGUGUACACAGACGUGUAGAUGUGUACACAGACGUGUAGAUGUGUACACAGACGUAUACACAGACGUGUAGACGUGUACACAGACGUGUAGACAUGUACACAGACGUAUACACAGAUGUGUAGAUGUACGUGUAGACGUAUACACAGACGUAUACACAGAUGUGUAGACGUGUGCACAGACAUGUAGACAUGUACACAGACGUAUACACAGACGUGUAGACGUGUACACAGACAUGUACACAGACGUGUAGACGUGUACACAGACGUUAUACAUAGACGUGUAGACUUGUACACAGACGUGUACACAGACAUGUAGACGUAUACACAGACGUAUACACAGAUGUGUAGAAGUGUACACAAACGUGUAGAUGUGUACAC
Ictalurus punctatus (channel catfish) is the source of this 3404-nucleotide long non-coding RNA. NCBI's taxonomy places the organism in Eukaryota, Metazoa, Chordata, Actinopteri, Siluriformes, Ictaluridae. The record is from Ensembl.